This 1176-nucleotide ribosomal RNA is filed under the name Triticum aestivum (bread wheat). Its description in RNAcentral is "partial small subunit ribosomal RNA". Lineage: Eukaryota; Viridiplantae; Streptophyta; Magnoliopsida; Poales; Poaceae. The record is from RNAcentral.
AUGAACUGCCGGAGGGAGCUACUCCCGCGCGCGGAGUUCAUGCAAUUUCUCAAAAGGCUUUUGAACGGCUACAGAGAUGUCAGCUCGCUAGAUAUCCAAGGGCUCGGAUAUGUGACACCUCCUCCAACAUUCCCUGCCAAAUACCUAAUUGUUGACAUUACUCGUCCAUCGGGUGAACAAGCAUUGCCAAGGUCAAUAAUGCAGUUUUUAGUCCGGCUUUCUGACAAUUACACGGUGGGCUUACGCAAUACCCCGGAGGAUCCCUACUCCAGAGGUGGCUGGUUUCUCUUCAACAACAAGGAUAUCAUAGAUGGAUUUCCUGAUUUUAUGGGCGACUUCGACAUAAUGAAUAAAGAUUGUGGUUACUUCCAUUUUGAGGAUAUUUGUGUCCGUGAAAAAAUUAUCUCUGUUAUUGUUGCGGCCCUGAGUGGAAUCACAGAGUUCAAUUGCAAGUACUUGCCUGAUGAUACAAAAGCGAAGAUUGAAGCAAAGCUGGUGUUGAUUGGGGAGUGCCCGCGGCUCCAUGUUCCUUUGCAAUACACCAUGGAGAUUUUCGAGAGCCUUGGUUUCAGUUUCCUACCAGCUGAGGAGCUCUUUCAUAUGCGUCAUUGGUCAUUUUUGUGCAAGGCGACCUUUGCAUUGUAUCUUGCAAUUCUUGAAGCAGAAAAAGGAGUGUCCUCUAAGAAAGAAAGUUUCAUAAAUGCAAGGAGGCUUUUGGUCGCAACGGUGCAGAAAUUCAGUGACCAGGGUCACAUGCUUAAUCUGAAAAGUGCUGACGGGUUCUUCUCCCUUAGGAGACUCGCAGGCGGCCUUGUACGGCUCUUCAAGUACAACAAGGUGUGGGUCCAAAAACUUAUCACGAGGAAGUCUCUGGACUACAAAGCUUCAUUUAAGCAUGUUAAGCAUGAUGAGAAAGAAUUUAAAGAGCUUCUAGUUGGAGAGCCUGACAUCAUCAGUGAACAGGCUGAAUACAAUCACUGGAUGAAGCUCUUGUCUCGUGAUGAACUCCUCUCGACUCUGAUGCAGUAUGAUGGCGUGGAUGAUCCCGUGGAAGGACCCUGGAGAGGCUGUUACACUGCCUUGCUGGCGGCGGAGGUGGAGGAGGUGGAGGAAGUGGAGGAUGAGGAUGAGGAGGAGGAGGAGGAUGAUGAGGAGGAUGAUGAUGAUGAGGCGUAG